RNAcentral lists this ribosomal RNA (495 nucleotides) under uncultured bacterium. RNAcentral's name for it is "partial 16S ribosomal RNA". It matches the Rfam family "Bacterial small subunit ribosomal RNA", at positions 28 to 507 of the family's 1533-position model. The record is from RNAcentral.
GAUGAACGCUGGCGGCGUGCCUAAUACAUGCAAGUAGAACGCUGAAGGAGGAGCUUGCUCUUCUGGAUGAGUUGCGAACGGGUGAGUAACGCGUAGGUAACCUGCCUGGUAGCGGGGGAUAACUAUUGGAAACGAUAGCUAAUACCGCAUGACAACAGUUAUUGCAUGAUAACUGUUUAAAAGGGGCAACUGCUCCACUACCAGAUGGACCUGCGUUGUAUUAGCUAGUUGGUGAGGUAACGGCUCACCAAGGCGACGAUACAUAGCCGACCUGAGAGGGUGAUCGGCCACACUGGGAAUGAGACACGGCCCAGACUCCUACGGGAGGCAGCAGUAGUGAAUCUUCGGCAAUGGACGGAAGUCUGACCGAGCAACGCCGCGUGAGUGAAGAAGGUUUUCGGAUCGUAAAGCUCUGUUGUAAGAGAAGAACGAGUGUGAGAGUGGAAAGUUCACCCUGUGACGGUAUCUUACCAGAAAGGGACGGCUAACUACGUG